CGCCGAGGAACCGGAGCUCACGGCCGGGGCUUUCCAGCAGGAAACGGUUUCGUUAAAGCCAAGUACACAAAGGAACGUGAGAAAUAAAUGUUUUCCGUGUUGGACAGUAACUGUGGACGGCUGGCUCCACCUGCCGGCCGAACCAGAGAGUGACAGUACAGGUCAUGGGGACGGGGUGCUGGAGCCCAUCUCAGCGGUCAUCGGGCGGAAGGCAGG
Long non-coding RNA from Pygocentrus nattereri (red-bellied piranha), 216 nucleotides. RefSeq lists it as uncharacterized. The transcript has 3 exons. NCBI's taxonomy places the organism in Eukaryota, Metazoa, Chordata, Actinopteri, Characiformes, Serrasalmidae. The record is from RefSeq and is a predicted model, not a curated record.